AGAGUUUGAUCCUGGCUCAGGAUGAACGCUGGCGGCGUGCCUAAUACAUGCAAGUCGAGCGAACAGACGAGGAGCUUGCUCCUCUGACGUUAGCGGCGGACGGGUGAGUAACACGUGGAUAACCUACCUAUAAGACUGGGAUAACUUCGGGAAACCGGAGCUAAUACCGGAUAACAUGUUGAACCGCAUGGUUCAACAGUGAAAGACGGUCUUGCUGUCACUUAUAGAUGGAUCCGCGCCGCAUUAGCUAGUUGGUAAGGUAACGGCUUACCAAGGCAACGAUGCGUAGCCGACCUGAGAGGGUGAUCGGCCACACUGGAACUGAGACACGGUCCAGACUCCUACGGGAGGCAGCAGUAGGGAAUCUUCCGCAAUGGGCGAAAGCCUGACGGAGCAACGCCGCGUGAGUGAAGAAGGUCUUCGGAUCGUAAAACUCUGUUAUUAGGGAAGAACAAAUGUGUAAGUAACUAUGCACGUCUUGACGUAU
RNAcentral lists this ribosomal RNA (487 nucleotides) under Staphylococcus sp. RKVR_SS15. RNAcentral's name for it is "bacterial SSU rRNA". It matches the Rfam family "Bacterial small subunit ribosomal RNA", at positions 8 to 477 of the family's 1533-position model. Lineage: Bacteria; Bacillati; Bacillota; Bacilli; Caryophanales; Staphylococcaceae. The record is from RNAcentral.